UACUUUUCAGGAGCAACACUUGGCCGGAAGCCGGGAAACCGAGGGGGCCGGGACACUGGCGAGCCGCUGCCCACCUUCCGGUCCAGCCCGGGGCUCAGUGCUGCGGCGCGUGCGCUCUGCCAGACCCCCCUCCCCCGACACACACUUGGCGCGCAUCUCAUGCACCCAGGGCUCGCCUCAUGGGGGGCGGAGCCGGGUCUUCCUCAUCUCCUCCAACAGAUUCUGUGCUGCGGGAACUGGGAGCCCACGCUGCUCAGGAGCUGGGAAGCCACGGAGCCGCCGACUCGGGCCUUGCCUGGACGCCGUGAGAGCCCGGAAGCCCGGCUCGUCCUGCGGAGCCGGCUGAGGGCCAAACACCCCCGCCUCCCAAGUCAAGGAGGCCAAGGCUCAGAAAGGAAAAGAACAAGAGCAGAGCCAUCCAACUGGGGCAGGCUUGGAAUGGACAGAACCAUUUGGUUUGGUUUCAAGACUAAUACCCUUAGCCACCGUUCUUCCCUGCCUCCAAGUGACACCCCCAAAGAACUGUCCUGGCACCACCUCCUGGGGAGCAGCAGCCCAUCCCUCAUCGGCAGCUCCAACCGUCCACAGAAAGGGGGGAGAACAGGAAGAGCCGGAAGUCUCACGGUGGCAGAUCCUGUGAAUAUGGAUGAGGACACAGUGGCAUGUUUACAUGAGCUGCCUUUCCUUUGGAAGACACUUGGCAACAUCAUGUACCAUAUUUUUGAUCAUACCUCAUAAAGACAUGCAGGAAGAGAGGACUUCCAGAAGAGAUUUAGAAAGUGGCAGAAGGAUAGGCUAAGGAGGGAGGAGGAUUAUGAGGGGGACUCAUGGGAAAUGUGUCUUUUUCUGUAAUAAUUGAAAACAACUGUAACAUUCAUUGCCUAGUUCAGUCACACCUCAUGUGCUGUUUUCUCCUCCGCACUGACUUUCACAUCCCCAUGCCCACUGUUCCUUCACCUUCAAGG
Molecule: long non-coding RNA, 965 nt
Filed under: Heterocephalus glaber (naked mole-rat)
Lineage: Eukaryota; Metazoa; Chordata; Mammalia; Rodentia; Bathyergidae
Description: lncRNA (ENSHGLG00000040108.1)
Source: RNAcentral